Molecule: unclassified non-coding RNA, 4673 nt
Filed under: Trichogramma pretiosum
Lineage: Eukaryota; Metazoa; Arthropoda; Insecta; Hymenoptera; Trichogrammatidae
Description: serine/threonine-protein kinase prp4, transcript variant X4
Source: RNAcentral
AUGGUUUUGGUAUUAUAAUUGAAAUUUAUUAAUUAAAAAUAAAAAAAAUUUGAACAGUUUAGAGUCGUGACCAGGCUAGUUCAAGUUUCUUAUCAAAUUGAUAAACAAAUAAAAAUACUGAAAUCAUCUAGGGUAUGAUUAGCAUUUUCACUUAUUUAAAUCUAUGCGCGUCUCACAUAAAAUGAUCUGCCGACUAAAGCGCCCCUGAAAACGGACGGAUCACGGAGCAGCUGUUGGCUGUUGCUGACUGAUUCACUGAUGUGCGACGAUGAUGCGUCGUCGCUACAUCGUUUCCGUAAGCAGUGUGUUGGUCAAUCUGUGUGUGUACCUUGCUUUAAAUCGUUCAUCAGAGAACUUGUGAAAUUGACAUUUUCUUUGAAUUUUCACGAAGUGUACACAAAAUAUCAGCAUCCAAUACUUACUCGCGACGUGACAGUAGUUAGUGUUGACCGUCUUAUUGGCUAAACUUGUUGUAAAUUUGUAAAUACGCUUGCGUGGGAGGAUACCUUGUGUUGCUGCCAUUACGCUCGUUAUAAUUAGUUUUUUCUAAUGAAGUUUAUGUUUUUUUCUUGUUCAUGGAGACAGUGUAAAAAUAUUGGUUCCUACUCCGGCAGUUUCUGUUACGUGCAAUAAAUACUGUUUUCAAUUGACAUGCUACAUACAGCAAACGUUAGUCAGAGUAUUUAUUGAACGAUCAAAUAUAACCUCAUUUAUUAGCUGAUAGCAUUUUGCUUCGUAAUAAUCUCGGCCUGGAGUUUUUACGGAAUAUUUACAGUAAGGAUUACAGAGAGGUUCCACUGUAGCCAAAAUGAGUUCAGAUGUGGAAUGUAUUACUGAUUCGAGGCGAGAUCCCGAUGAACUAAGCGACAAUGAACUUUCAACUCCAGAGCACAAACAUAGCAGUACUAGUAAGAAAAGGAAACGUAAACAUAAGCAUAAGCACAAGAAAGACAAAUCUGACAUAAAGUUGGAGCGCAGUGAAAGAAAAAAGCAUAAGCAUAAACAUAAACACAAAAAGAGCAGAAGUGAAGAAAAUGGUAAAGCUGUCAUUGACAAAAUUGUUUCAAAUUUUGUCAAAGAUAAAGAAAUGAAUGGCAAAAUUGGUACUAGCAUAGAAAUUCCAGAGUCAGAAGACAGUGAAGAUGAAAAAAUGGUUGAUUUGGAAUCAGAUGAUGCAGAUUGUACUAUCAUUGACUUAGAUUCAGAUGAAGUAGAUUGUACUAUCAUUGAAGAUGAUAUUGAUCUUGAAGAAUUGAUGAAACAAAAGGAACGUCUUCAAGCAUGUUUGGCACAAUAUUCAGUUUCUCAAUCAAAAAGCAAAGACGAAACAGUUGAUUCCAAAAAAGAUGAUAGACCUUCCUUAAAAAAAUCAAGCGAAAAACUUAAAGAAGAUGACAAAAAGAAAGAUGAAUCUUCCAGAAAAAAAUUGGAAGAUGACAAGCGCAAAGAAAUUGCUAAAAGAGAUGAAUCUCGAAAAAGAGAACACGAUAAAAGUAGGGAAGAAGAGCGUAAAAAAAAUAGCAGUAGCACCAUCCGACGAAGUACUGACAAUAAAUCUCGAGAACCGUCUCGACCAUCUAGACGCGAUUCUAGUCGUGAACGACAAUUAAACCACGAACGAGAUAGAAGAAGCAGUCGUGAUCGAAAAGACAGUAGAAGACACAGAGAACUAGGUAAAGAUGGACGAGAUCAUCCUAGGGACAGUAGAGAUGUGAGAGCACACGAUAGACGUGAUAAUUCUAGAAACCGACACCGAUCCAGAAGUCUUGACCGUGGAAGGGAUCGGAAUGACCGUGACCGUCAUAGACGCUCAAGGUCUCGUUCACGAGGACGUCAUGGAGAUCGAGAUAGGUAUGGUAAAACUCAUGAUCGCGAACGGGAAAAAGACAAAAAUGGAAAACGCGAAAGAAAUGAUAAAUUUAAAGAUUCUUUAUCGGAAGGUUUGAAACCAGAACAUGAGUCCAGUUCCAGUGAAGAAGAUAUCAAAGAUAUCGACAUUGAAGAAGAUGAAGAUGAGGAAGCAAUCAUUGAACGUCGAAGAAAGCAGCGAGAAGAACUAUUGAAGCGGCUAGGUGCACCGAAUGAAGACUCAAAUUUAUCUUUAGAAUUUCCUCCAGCACAAUCACUUCGUACAGAAAGUCCGUCAAGUAAGUGUUCUUCUACACCUGAGAAAAGUAAUGGAACCAUUUAUGAAAGUCAUACGCCACCGUUACCUGAUAAACGAAAUUGGUUUAAAAUCGAGGACGAAAAUAAAGACAGUAAGGAUAGUAAGGAUAGUAAAGACAGUAAAGACAGUAAAGACAGUAAAAAGAGUAAUGAGACAUCAACUACAAAAAAAUCGAACGAAUGGGAUAUGUUUGCAGAAAUAGAUAAUAUCGGUGAUUUCAAUAGUCCAACCGUUGAUGGUUCUAAACGUCAUGGAGGGCAUGAUAAUCCUAAUCUAACGGAUAACUGGGAUGAUGCUGAAGGUUACUACAGAGUUCGUGUUGGUGAAACUUUGGAUUCAAGAUACGUAGUGUAUGGUUAUACUGGUCAGGGAGUAUUCAGUAAUGUUGUUAGAGCAAGAGACAAUUUCCGCAGUGGUCAGGAUGUAGCUGUAAAAAUAAUCAGGAAUAAUGAAAUAAUGCAUCGUACUGGUCUUAAAGAAUUAGAGAUUCUUCGAAAACUUAAUGACGCAGAUGCUGAAGAUAAAUUUCAUUGUUUACGAUUGUUUAGACACUUCUUUCACAAAAACCAUUUGUGCAUGGUUUUUGAAUCUUUGUCAAUGAAUUUGAGAGAAGUGCUGAAAAAGUAUGGGAAAGAUGUUGGAUUACACGUAAAGGCUGUCAGAUCAUAUACACAACAGUUAUUCCUUGCUUUAAAAUUGUUAAAAAGAGCGAACAUUCUGCAUGCUGAUAUAAAACCAGAUAAUAUUUUAGUCAGUGAAAGUAAAUUAGUUCUAAAAUUGUGUGAUUUCGGUUCUGCUUCAUUUGCACAUGAAAACGAGAUAACGCCGUACCUUGUUUCUCGAUUUUACAGAGCACCUGAAAUAAUUUUAGGUAUACCUUAUGAUUUCGGCAUUGAUAUGUGGUCGGUUGGUUGUACAAUUUAUGAACUCUAUACCGGGAAAAUCAUGUUUUCUGGAAAAACAAAUAAUCAAAUGCUCAAAUUCUUUAUGGAUUUAAAAGGAAAAAUGCCCAAUAAAGUUGUACGAAAAGGUCAAUUCAAAGAUCAACACUUUGAUAGUAACUGCAACUUCUUGUAUCACGAAGUUGAUAAAGUUACAGAAAGAGAAAAAAUUGUACAAAUGUCAACUCUUCCCAUCACCAGGGAUUUGGCUACUGAACUAGGAGGAACAGGCUUACCUACAGAACAAGCUCGUAAAGUAGCUCAAUUGAAAGAUUUACUCGAACGUACAUUGAUGCUCGAUGCUGGGAAAAGGAUAACAGUAAAUCAUGCGUUGACUCAUCCUUUUAUUCAAGAGAAGAUAUAAGAUAUAUUAUCUUACACAAAGAAUAUACACGUAGGUAAAAUGCACUUACCGUGUUACUAAGUGCGUGUAUAUUAUCUGAUCAACAACUCUGACGAAACCUAAUUUAUGCUUAAUGGUGAACUUGAAAAUGUUUUCUUCUCACUGCAGCACGUUAAAUGUGUACCUGCUCAAAAUAUAGAAGGGGUUGAUUCAAUUUAGUUAGAUAAUAAAAUAACCAAAGGAGGUUUGAUUAAUAAAUUAUAAGAAUUUAGAACAUGUAAGAUAAAUUUUCCGUUCAAAACUCCUGAGGCGUAUUGAAAUGGAGUACAUUCGUAGAUGGCAAAAUUGUACAUUGAAGUAUUGUAUAUUCAUGGGUUAUGAUGAGUUUAGAUAUUUAUCAUUCGUCUAAUUUGUAAUGUUCAUCACCAGUACAGUCUGUGCUUUACAAGUUGUAUUUAAUAAAUUUGCUAGAAAUUUAGAUUUAUAUUAUAAUCAUCGAAAGGUUUAAAAAGUUAAUCAAGGUUUUACGUAAUUUGAUUUAGUAAUUUUCGGGUUGAAUAAAGUUUUACAGAGCAAUCACGAGUGUUAGAAAAGAAUUUCUAUAACGAGAGAUCUUUGUACAGUAUAUGUUAUAUACGCCUGAGAAAUAAAAUGAGUUUGAUUUUGAAUCUCGGCUUUUAAAGUAAUUUUUUCAUUGAUGUUUAUACAAAAUGAGCUUGGAUUUCACGUGUGUUAUUGAAUUUUUCAAUCUUCGUAUUAAAUUUAAGUCAUCAAUCUCGGAAUUUUCAUCACAAUGAUUCUUGAAAAUGAAUCAUUUAGAAUUUAUUUUAAUGUGAUAAUAAAGCUGAGUGUUUUAGCAUCCAAACUGGUGUUUUAUAAAAUACCGGAUUAAUUUUAAAUUAAACUUGGUUUUCAUCAGUAGGGUAUAUUUUUGAUUAAUAUUAAUUAAUUUUUUAUUCAAUCAGGAAAAUAGUUUUUGGUUAAUUGGGAUAUAAUGGCUCUUUUAAAAAUUUUCAAUCGGGUAGAUUUUAUGCAGCUGCUUAUGUUUCAGAUCAGUCUUCCCAAGUUGAAACUUUGGAUAAAUUCAACUGGACGUUAACACGGGCCUAUAGCUGUUUCCGUUUCAAGGUAUUCUAGGAAACUGACUUUUGGGACUUACUUAUUUUAGCAUUACACCAUUUUUACGAUUAUAACGUGUAGUUUUUUUUUUUUUUUUUAUUUU